UACGGGGGGGGCAAGCGUUGUUCGGAAUUACUGGGCGUAAAGGGUUCGUAGGUGGCCAACUAAGUCAGACGUGAAAUCCCUCAGCUUAACUGGGGAACUGCGUCUGAUACUGGUUGGCUUGAAUGCAGGAGAGGAACGCGGAAUUCCAGGUGUAGCGGUGAAAUGCGUAGAUAUCGCUUGGAACGCCAAAGGUGAAAACAGGUUGCUGGGGUUGUGCCGACGCUGAGACACGAAAGCCAGGGGAGCAAACGGG
Molecule: ribosomal RNA, 253 nt
Filed under: uncultured bacterium
Lineage: Bacteria
Description: partial 16S ribosomal RNA
Rfam family: Bacterial small subunit ribosomal RNA
Source: RNAcentral